This 257-nucleotide ribosomal RNA is filed under the name uncultured bacterium. Its description in RNAcentral is "partial 16S ribosomal RNA". It matches the Rfam family "Bacterial small subunit ribosomal RNA", at positions 524 to 775 of the family's 1533-position model. The record is from RNAcentral.
UACGUAGGGUGCAAGCGUUAAUCGGAAUUACUGGGCGUAAAGCGUGCGCAGGCGGUUUUUGUAAGUCAGAUGUGAAAUCCCCCGGGCUUAACCUGGGAACUGCGUUUUGAAACUACAAGGCUAGAGUGUGGCAGAGGGGGGGUGGAAUUCCACGUGUAGCAGUGAAAUGCGUAGAGAUGUGGAGGAACACCGAUGGCGAAGGCAGCCCCCUGGGUUAACACUGACGCUCAGGCACGAAAGCGUGGGGGAGCAAACAG